RNAcentral lists this ribosomal RNA (432 nucleotides) under uncultured bacterium. Its description in RNAcentral is "partial 16S ribosomal RNA". It matches the Rfam family "Bacterial small subunit ribosomal RNA", at positions 29 to 507 of the family's 1533-position model. The record is from RNAcentral.
ACGAACGCUGGCGGCAUGCCUAACACAUGCAAGUCGAACGAGACCUUCGGGUCUAGUGGCGCACGGGUGCGUAACGCGUGGGAACCUGCCCUUAGGUUCGGAAUAACUCCCCGAAAGGGGUGCUAAUACCGGAUAAUGUCUUCGGACCAAAGAUUUAUCGCCUUUGGAUGGGCCCGCGUUGGAUUAGCUAGUUGGUAGGGUAAAAGCCUACCAAGGCGACGAUCCAUAGCUGGUCUGAGAGGAUGAUCAGCCACACUGGGACUGAGACACGGCCCAGACUCCUACGGGAGGAAGCAGUGGGGAAUAUUGGACAAUGGGCGAAAGCCUGAUCCAGCAAUGCCGCGUGAGUGAUGAAGGCCUUAGGGUUGUAAAGCUCUUUUACCCGGGAUGAUAAUGACAGUACCGGGAGAAUAAGCGCCGGCUAACUCCGUG